ACGGGAGGCAGCAGUGGGGAAUAUUGGACAAUGGGGGGAACCCUGAUCCAGCGACGCCGCGUGAGUGAAGAAGUAUUUCGGUAUGUAAAGCUCUUUAAGCAGGAAAGAAAAUGACGGUACCUGCAGAAUAAGCCCCGGCUAACUACGUGCCAGCAGCCGCGGUAAUACGUAGGGGGCAAGCGUUAUCCGGAUUUACUGGGUGUAAAGGGAGCGUAGACGGCAAUGCAAGUCUGAAGUGAAAGCCCGCGGCUCAACUGCGGGACUGCUUUGGAAACUGUAUGGCUAGAGUGUCGGAGAGGUGAGUGGAAUUCCCAGUGUAGCGGUGAAAUGCGUAGAUAUUAGGAGGAACACCAGUGGCGAAGGCGACUUUCUGGACUGUAACUGACGUUGAGGCACGAAAGUGUGGGGAGCAAACAGGAUUAGAUACCCUGGUA
RNAcentral lists this ribosomal RNA (434 nucleotides) under uncultured Clostridium sp. Its description in RNAcentral is "partial 16S ribosomal RNA". It matches the Rfam family "Bacterial small subunit ribosomal RNA", at positions 341 to 792 of the family's 1533-position model. Lineage: Bacteria; Bacillati; Bacillota; Clostridia; Eubacteriales; Clostridiaceae. The record is from RNAcentral.